AUGAACGCUAGCUACAGGCUUAACACAUGCAAGUCGAGGGGCAUCAUGACUAUAGCUUGCUAUAGUUGAUGGCGACCGGCGCACGGGUGAGUAACGCGUAUCCAAUCUACCUCAAACAAGGGAAUAACCCGUUGAAAGACGGCCUAAUGCCCUAUGCAGUCGUUCAAUGGCAUCAGCGUACGACGAAAGGAAUUAUCCGGUAUGAGAUGAGGAUGCGUCCGAUUAGCUUGUUGGCGGGGUAACGGCCCACCAAGGCAACGAUCGGUAGGGGUUCUGAGAGGAAGGUCCCCCACACUGGUACUGAGACACGGACCAGACUCCUACGGGAGGCAGCAGUGAGGAAUAUUGGUCAAUGGGCGAGAGCCUGAACCAGCCAAGUAGCGUGCAGGAUGACGGCCCUAUGGGUUGUAAACUGCUUUUUACGAGGAUAACAGACAUCACGUGUGAUGUUUUGCAGGUAUCGUAAGAAUAAGGACCGGCUAAUUCCGUGCC
Molecule: ribosomal RNA, 492 nt
Filed under: uncultured bacterium
Lineage: Bacteria
Description: bacterial SSU rRNA
Rfam family: Bacterial small subunit ribosomal RNA
Source: RNAcentral